Molecule: transfer RNA, 71 nt
Filed under: Haania vitalisi
Lineage: Eukaryota; Metazoa; Arthropoda; Insecta; Mantodea; Haaniidae
Description: tRNA-Leu
Source: RNAcentral
ACUAUUUUGGCAGAAGAUUUAGUGCUUUAAAUUUAGAAUUUAAUUAUAUGAUAUUUAUAUCAUAAGUAGUA